UGAGAGAUGAUGAGAAUGAGAGAUGAUGAGAAUGAGAGUUGAUGAGAAUGAGAGUUGAUGAGAAUGAGAGAUGAUGAGAAUGAGAGUUGAUCAGAAUGAGAGAUGAUGAGAAUGAGAGUUGAUGAGAAUGAGAGUUGGUGAGAAUGAGAGAUGAUGAGAAUGAGAGAUGAUGAGAAUGAGAGUUGAUGAGAAUGAGAGAUGAUGAGAAUGAGAGUUGAUGAGAAUGAGAGAUGAUGAGAAUGAGAGAUGAUGAGAAUGAGAGUUGAUGAGAAUGAGAGAUGAUGAGAAUGAGAGUUGAUCAGAAUGAGAGAUGAUGAGAAUGAGAGAUGAUGAGAAUGAGAGUUGAUGAGAAUGAGAGAUGAUGAGAAUGAGAGAUGAUGAGAAUUGAUGAGAAUGAGAGAUGAUGAGAAUGAGAGAUGAUGUGAAUGAGAGAUGAUGAGAAUGGAGAUGAUGAGAAUGAGAGAUGAUGAGAAUGAGAGUUGAUGAGAAUGAGAGUUGAUGAGAAUGAGAGUUGAUGAGAAUGAGAGAU
Molecule: non-coding RNA, 529 nt
Organism: Paramuricea clavata
Lineage: Eukaryota; Metazoa; Cnidaria; Anthozoa; Malacalcyonacea; Plexauridae
Source: the annotation of a GenBank genome assembly